RNAcentral lists this ribosomal RNA (468 nucleotides) under uncultured bacterium. RNAcentral describes it as "partial 16S ribosomal RNA". It matches the Rfam family "Bacterial small subunit ribosomal RNA", at positions 28 to 507 of the family's 1533-position model. The record is from RNAcentral.
GACGAACGCUGGCGGCGUGCUUAACACAUGCAAGUCGAACGGAAAGGCCCUGCUUUUGUGGGGUGCUCGAGUGGCGAACGGGUGAGUAACACGUGAGUAACCUGCCCUUGACUUUGGGAUAACUUCAGGAAACUGGGGCUCAUACCGGAUAGGAGCUCCUGCUGCAUGGUGGGGGUUGGAAAGUUUCGGCGGUUGGGGAUGGACUCGCGGCUUAUCAGCUUGUUGGUGGGGUAGUGGCUUACCAAGGGUUUGACGGGUAGCCGGCCUGAGAGGGUGACCGGCGACAAUGGGACUGAGAUACGGCCCAGACGCCUACGGGAGGCAGCAGGGGGGAAUAUUGCGCAAUGGGGGGAAGCCUGAUGCAGCAACGCCGCGUGCGGGAUGACGGCCUUCGGGUUGUAAACCGCUUUCGCCGGUGACGAAGCGUGAGUGACGGUAAUGGGUAAAGAAGCACCGGCUAACUACGUG